Prunus dulcis (almond) is the source of this 1171-nucleotide long non-coding RNA. RefSeq lists it as uncharacterized. Lineage: Eukaryota; Viridiplantae; Streptophyta; Magnoliopsida; Rosales; Rosaceae. The transcript is spliced from 2 exons. The record is from RefSeq and is a predicted model, not a curated record.
UGAAACUUCACAACGUACGCCAUACGUUUCUUGCUGGUUCUUCUUCUUCUUCCUUGAACUCUCUGAAGUGAAAGUUCUUUGCUUCCAUAAUGGCUUCCUUUCGUUGCUUCAACCCUUUUCCCUUCCUUCUCUUCCAAGUAAUUCCAACUCUCUCUUGCCCAAUUAGCUUCUAAUUAGAAACCCUCCUUCUACUUCACGUAGUCUAAGAGACCAUCAUCAUGACCCCUGCAAGUCUUGUCCAGCAAAAAAUCAGGCAAAGGUUUCCACUCCAAGAAACCAUACCAAAAGUUGGAGCAUGCCUCUGAGAAGUCCAAAAAGCAUAAGCAUGGAGAUCAAGUUCAAGUUCCAGAAGGUUAUAUGGCUCUGUACGUGGGGGAAGAGUGAAGAAGAAAGUAUUAAGUUUUCAUUGAAGUGUCUCUCUUGUCCAGCUUUCCAAAAAGAGACUAUCAAGUCGCAGCCGGAUGCGUUUGAUGCCAAGAUUGAAGGGCCAUUUCUGCUUUUAUCAUAUUCAACCACCCCACUAGUUGCCAAAACAAUCGCAAGCUUGGAAAGAGCCGCCGUUUCUGCCCUGCUAAUGAUCCUGAUCAGGCCUGGUUCUCCACAGUCAUGGCCGUGGGGUCAUAUAUGUGAUUGCCAAAAACUUGUGGCCAAACUCGAAAGUGCUAUACACUGGCAUGAAUUAUCAUGAAUAUCAUCAGAAUCCGGAUCUUUCGAGGAAAUGGUUCAUUAGGCGUGAACCAAAAGGCUGGUUGCGGUUAGGUGCAUGCGUGGUCCUGUCUCAAUUUUCAUGACCUAACCUCUUUCGAAAAAAUGUCGACACUAUGAGUUCAUUCGUUUCCUCAUCUGUGGAAACACUCACGUAGUUUUCUGGUUUAAAAUGCAACCAAAUUCCCUGAAAUUUGUGCAUUGAUUUAACAUGUAGUCUUUUUCUGAAAGAAACCCAGAAGACUAAAUGAGUGUCAAGUUGAGGGUUUGGUUUGCAGUAAAAGUUCCAAGUCCUCAAAAGAGGGCCAAAAGUCACAUGGGUUGAAUUAGGUAUAGACAAAAGCAAUGGGAAGGAGAUGGCUGGAGGGAAUAAAAUAAAGAGGCUGCACUGCACUGCACAGGAGAGCACAAAGGAUAACGUUACUUUCAUAAAUGAACAUGAAUCACACUAUAUUUUAUAAUGCCA